AGCAGCCGCGGUAAUUCCAGCUCCAAUAGCGUAUAUUAAAGUUGUUGCAGUUAAAAAGCUCGUAGUUGAAUUUCGGGACCAAUCUGCCGGUCGUGCCUCUGGUACGCACUGGUUUUAUUGGUUUCUCCCUUCUGACGAACCAUGAUGUCAUUAAUUUGGUGUCAUGGGGAAUCAGGACUGUUACUUUGAAAAAAUUAGAGUGUUUAAAGCAGGCUUACGCUUGAAUACAUUAGCAUGGAAUAAUGAAAUAGGACGUUUGACCCUAUUUUGUUGGUUUCUAGGAUCGACGUAAUGAUUAAUAGGGAUAGUUGGGGGCAUUAGUAUUCAAUUGUCAGAGGUGAAAUUCUUGGAUUUAUUGAAGACUAACUACUGCGAAAGCAUUUGCCAAGGAUGUUUUCAUUAAUCAAGAACGAAAGUUAGGGGAUCGAAGACGAUCAGAUACCGUCGUAGUCUUAACCAUAAACUAUGCCGACUAGGGAUCGGAUGAUGUUAAUUUUUUAAUGACUCAUUCGGCGCCUUA
This 520-nucleotide ribosomal RNA is filed under the name uncultured Glomus. Its description in RNAcentral is "SSU rRNA". It matches the Rfam family "Eukaryotic small subunit ribosomal RNA", at positions 569 to 1090 of the family's 1831-position model. Lineage: Eukaryota; Fungi; Glomeromycota; Glomeromycetes; Glomerales; Glomeraceae. The record is from RNAcentral.